Molecule: ribosomal RNA, 421 nt
Filed under: uncultured Dysgonomonas sp.
Lineage: Bacteria; Pseudomonadati; Bacteroidota; Bacteroidia; Bacteroidales; Dysgonomonadaceae
Description: bacterial SSU rRNA
Rfam family: Bacterial small subunit ribosomal RNA
Source: RNAcentral
GAGGAAUAUUGGUCAAUGGACGAGAGUCUGAACCAGCCAAAUCGCGUGAAGGAAGACUGCCCUACGGGUUGUAAACUUCUUUUGUACAGGAAUAAAAGACAUUACGUGUAAUGUAUUGCAUGUACUGUACGAAUAAGCAUCGGCUAACUCCGUGCCAGCAGCCGCGGUAAUACGGAGGAUGCGAGCGUUAUCCGGAUUUAUUGGGUUUAAAGGGUGCGCAGGCGGGAUUUUAAGUCAGCGGUGAAAUUUUCAGGCUCAACCUGAACACUGCCGUUGAAACUGGGAUUCUUGAGUAUGGAUGAAGUAGGCGGAAUGUGUUGUGUAGCGGUGAAAUGCAUAGAUAUAACACAGAACCCCGAUUGCGAAGGCAGCUUACCGGGCUACAUCUGACGCUGAUGCACGAAAGCGUGGGGAUCAAACA